Long non-coding RNA from Myxocyprinus asiaticus (Chinese sucker), 726 nucleotides. RefSeq lists it as uncharacterized. The record is from RefSeq and is a predicted model, not a curated record. Lineage: Eukaryota; Metazoa; Chordata; Actinopteri; Cypriniformes; Catostomidae. The transcript has 3 exons.
CUGAGACAGAAAUGGCUUCCCUUAAUCACUCACCUUUUCCACUCUAUCAUCACAGUUCACCUGAGGGGUAUUCCAGAAAGCAGGUUAAGUGACUUACCCAGAUCUUUGCUCAGGUGUGUUUGAAGAGUCUGUGGGCACUUUAAUUGCCAUUGUUGUGGCAGCUGUUGGUGUGGCAGCAGGACUGGUUGCGGUGAUACUGACUCAGUUCAAGGACAAACUGAACUUCCUGCAGAAAUGACGGGACAGUGAUGGCAAUGGAUUAUGGUGGUUAGGAGAGUGAGGAGGUAUAAGUAAACAAGCUGGCACAGUAUGUGACAGAAUGACAUCAGUGAAAGGAAAGACAUUUAUCUCACCUCAUUGCUAGAAUAAUCAGGUGAUUACAUUAAUGAACAGAUACAGUGACCCCUAGGGUUGCCACCCAUCCAGGAUUUUCCAGGAUAGUCCUGAUUACUCAAUUCAAUUUGAUGGAAAUUUGUUAUGAAAUUGAAACGCAUAAAUCUUGAAAUAGGUACAGUAAAUCUUGAAAAUAUUUUUUGAGUAAAUAUGUAUGUACAUUUAUUUGAUUUCCUUUGGUUUAAAUGUACGGAUGUUAUUUUUAGACUUUAUACAUACCUUUAUGUUUUAUACAUACAUUAUACAUUUUAAAACAUUUAAAUGUUCAGUGUGAACCAUAAACUCAAGAAAACUGAUUAGGGACAGAAUGAGUAAAUAAUAUGUAAAACUUGU